This is a non-coding RNA of Meleagris gallopavo (turkey), 196 nucleotides long. NCBI's taxonomy places the organism in Eukaryota, Metazoa, Chordata, Aves, Galliformes, Phasianidae. The record is from RefSeq and is a predicted model, not a curated record.
CCGGGAUGUACGGGCAUCAGUUCACCUUCUUCAGCAACGACGCUCCGGGGGACGCGGACACGUCCCGGUUGUUGGCCGCUCUCCUGGCCGAGCCGGGCUUCGGUACCGCGUGCAUGAAGGACGAGACGAAGGGGACGGGGCCGUGCCCACCUGCGUCCCACCCGACGGCUUCAGGCAGCCCCUCGGUUCCCUCGGC